Long non-coding RNA from Etheostoma spectabile (orangethroat darter), 1588 nucleotides. RefSeq lists it as uncharacterized. The record is from RefSeq and is a predicted model, not a curated record. The transcript is spliced from 3 exons. NCBI's taxonomy places the organism in Eukaryota, Metazoa, Chordata, Actinopteri, Perciformes, Percidae.
UCUAUGGGUAAUCCCUAUCCGUUUAAUUCGCCGUCACACGGUGACCCUGUUGAGCACAACGAAGAGAUAUGGGCCAACGUUUUGGAUGGCUCAAUUUGAGCAGUUUAGGGCCAAGGUCGGGUGCAGGUGAAGAUGAGGUGAUUAAAUUCAAUGGGGAAACAGACUUUAACACAAGACCGGCUCGAUGGCAUUUAUCGGGAAACCCAAAGUUGCUGGAAACGGGCUGCGCUGGAGAAUUGACAUAGCUAGCUAACGCUAGUGUAAAAGAACAGAUAACCAAUGUUACUAGAUAAAUUACAGCAUAGUCUAAAGGAUAACGUUAACCUACGUCAAUACACGAAACCCUAACGCUAAAGCAGUUGGUAGCUAAUUUACAAAACUGCCACACUGGAGCUGCCAAUGUGCUAAUCGACGAGCUAACUAGCUAGCGAAAUGUGAAACCUAGUUUGAUUAGCGCACACCUGUGAUCUCCUCCAAAUUGGGAUUUGUGGCCUAAAGAGGAACAGCAAGAUUAGCUAAUCCCAUCUGCUCCUUGCCAUGGAAUUUAAUAUCGCUUUGCCAUCAAAGAAGAAAAAGAAGACACACCUUAAGUGUCGGAUUCUCCAGGAGUCAAUGUCGGAAUGUCUUGCAGCUUUUUCACCACUCUGGACCACUCAAAAUCUUCUUCGUACCUAAGAGAAAAUUGAUAGCCGGCCCCUGUUAACCGACAGGAAACUGAGUCCCAGUUCCCCCGGCCGGAAGGCUAUUGUGACUGACUUGUAAGAACAUUUUACUAGCUGCCUACCAUGUUAGCCAUUAGCUUGCCAACUACCAUAGUUUACGAUAGUUAAGCUCCACAGUGUGGAACAGAUGCACCAGAGUUGUGUCAUAAACAAUUUCCAGGUUAUCAUUUCUGCACAUCAUAUCUCCUCACAUGAUCGGUCAGAUCCAUUUUGCAUGAAGUAAGCAGCAUCCUGCUCUUAUGAAAGGCUCCCUAAACCACUGUGGGGUUGAGCCUGAAAAUGUAAUUAGUGCGACAGGAUGGUGUGCAGACAACGUCCAGCAUUAGGACUGGCUCACGCUCAAUUUAAUCCAUUUAGAUAGCUUUCACUCAGAGACUCCUGACGAGGCGAAGCAGAGAGCAUGAUGAAUAGCUAUUAGCAAAAGUUUUAGUUUUACUUUGAUUAAAGCCAAGUUCACUUUCUAGGUCAGGUCGAGUUCAUGUGUUCGUUAUUUUGUCCAUGGACUUGAAAUCUUUUGAUUUAAAAAACGUCAGUCUAUUCCAUUUAGUACACUUUGAGCUGAACGGGUAACAAGGUGACAGGAUGAUUGAGGCUGUCUUGUAAACUUCCUACUCACACAUACACUGAUCGAAUAUUGACCUCCUCACUGCUGUUUUGUCUACUCUGUAAAAACAGCACCUUUUAUGUGUUCAUUUGCCCUGAAAGAGGGAUCCUUCCUCUGUUGAUAUUCUUCUUCUUGCCCAUUUGUUUCGAAUCAAGAGUCUAGUAAUCGGGUAUGUCCUAAACUGUACAGAUUGUAAAGCUGUCAAAAAGACAAACUUGUAAUGUUGGGGCAUACGCUGUAGAUAAAAUGGACUUGACUAUAA